Molecule: ribosomal RNA, 391 nt
Filed under: uncultured Scuticociliatia
Lineage: Eukaryota; Ciliophora; Oligohymenophorea
Description: partial small subunit ribosomal RNA
Rfam family: Eukaryotic small subunit ribosomal RNA
Source: RNAcentral
GCUUGUCUCAAAGAUUAAGCCAUGCAUGUCUCAGAAUAAAUCUCUAUACGUUGAAUCUGCAAAUGGCUCUUUAAAACAGUUAUUGUUUACUUGAUGGUCAUUCCUUACAUGGAUAACUGUGGUAAUUCUAGAGCUAAUACAUGCUAUCAAGCCCGACUUCUUGAAGGGUUGUAUUUAUUAGACUUAAGCCAAUAUUCCUUGUGUCUAUUGCGAUGAUUCAUAAUAACUGAUCGAAUCUCAAAUUUGAGAUAAAUCAUUCAAGUUUCUGCCCUAUCAGCUUUCGAUGGUAGUGUAUUGGACUACCAUGGCAGUAACGGGUAACGAAGAAUUAGGGUUCGAUUUCGGAGAGGGAGCAUGAGAAACGGCUACCACAUCUAAGGAAGGCAGCAGG